CCAAUUUCAAAAUAUCAAGUAGACUUCUCAAUCAUUAUGCAAGACAUCCAAAUAAACAACAAACCUCUAACCUCCUAACCUCAAAGAAGGACUUUGAACUCAUCAAAUUUAAGUUUGCUCACCUACUCUCAUCAAAGAAAGUUAAUAAAAUCACCUAUCUAUCAUGAAACAAGUGCCCUCACAAGAAGAAAUAGUCCACACACUCAAAUAAAAAGAUUGAAUAUAAAUUAAG
This 232-nucleotide long non-coding RNA is filed under the name Solanum tuberosum (potato). Its description in RNAcentral is "long non-coding RNA (STUB_LNC009714)". The record is from RNAcentral. Lineage: Eukaryota; Viridiplantae; Streptophyta; Magnoliopsida; Solanales; Solanaceae.